RNAcentral lists this ribosomal RNA (797 nucleotides) under uncultured bacterium. RNAcentral's name for it is "bacterial SSU rRNA". It matches the Rfam family "Bacterial small subunit ribosomal RNA", at positions 8 to 796 of the family's 1533-position model. The record is from RNAcentral.
AGAGUUUGAUCCUGGCUCAGAUUGAACGCUGGCGGCACGCCUAACACAUGCAAGUCGAGCGGUAGCAUGGUUAGUAGCAAUACUAACUGAUGACAAGCGGCGGACGGGUGAGGAACACGUAGGAAUCUACCCUCAAGCGGGGGACAACCAAGGGAAACUUUGGCUAAUACCGCAUAAUCUCGAGAGAGUAAAGCUACCCGCAAGGGCGGCACUUGAGGAGGAGCCUGCGUCCGAUUAGCUAGUUGGUAGGGUAAAAGCCUACCAAGGCAAUGAUCGGUAACUGGUCUGAGAGGACGACCAGUCACACUGGGACUGAGACACGGCCCAGACUCCUACGGGAGGCAGCAGUGGGGAAUAUUGGACAAUGGGGGCAACCCUGAUCCAGCGAUGCCGCGUGAGUGAAGAAGGCCUUCGGGUCGUAAAGCUCUUUAGGUUGGGAAGAAGCGUAUUGGGUUAAUAGCCGAGUACGUUGACGGUACCGACAGAAUAAGCACCGGCAAACUCUGUGCCAGCAGCCGCGGUAAUACAGAGGGUGCGAGCGUUAAUCGGAUUUACUGGGCGUAAAGGGCGCGUAGGCGGUUGGAUGUGUGUGAUGUGAAAGCCCCGGGCUUAACCUGGGAAGUGCAUCGCAAACUAUCUAGCUAGAGUAUAUGAGAGGGUGGCGGAAUUUCCGGUGUAGCGGUGAAAUGCGUAGAGAUCGGAAGGAACGUCAAUGGCGAAGGCAGCCACCUGGCAUAAUACUGACGCUGAGGCGCGAAAGCGUGGGGAGCGAACAGGAUUAGAUACCCUAGUAGUCC